AAGAAAGCAACUUCGAUUUCUUCGUUACAGAGCUAUCAAAAGUGAGAUACCUUCCUCCAGAUAAUGGCCUUCCAAAAAACACUUGUCGUCCUGGUGUUUCUCCUGCUGCUUGUUAACACUGAGUUUUCCAAAGCCCAAAUGUCCAGUCGUCAUGAAACCAGAUUAAACAGUAAUGCAGAGGGAAUUUCUUCACAGGAAAAUAUGAGCGAAAGUCUGAGAAGCAGAUUCCGAACAUACAAC
Hypanus sabinus (Atlantic stingray) is the source of this 240-nucleotide long non-coding RNA. RefSeq lists it as uncharacterized. The record is from RefSeq and is a predicted model, not a curated record. The transcript is spliced from 3 exons. Lineage: Eukaryota; Metazoa; Chordata; Chondrichthyes; Myliobatiformes; Dasyatidae.